This 987-nucleotide ribosomal RNA is filed under the name Graphis aff. rhizocola Luecking 28501. RNAcentral describes it as "eukaryotic LSU rRNA". It matches the Rfam family "Eukaryotic large subunit ribosomal RNA", at positions 143 to 1099 of the family's 3401-position model. Lineage: Eukaryota; Fungi; Ascomycota; Lecanoromycetes; Ostropales; Graphidaceae. The record is from RNAcentral.
UUGUAAUUUGUAGAAGGUGCUUCGGGAGAGACGGCGGCGCAAGUUUCCUGGAACGGAGUGUCGCAGAGGGUGAGAGUCCCGUAUGCCGUCGACUGUCGAUCCCGCACGAAGCUCUUUCGACGAGUCGAGUUGUUUGGGAAUGCAGCUCAAAAUGGGUGGUAAAUUUCAUCUAAAGCUAAAUAUCCGCCAGAGACCGAUAGCGCACAAGUAGAGUGAUCGAAAGAUGAAAAGCACUUUGAAAAGAGAGUGAAACAGUACGUGAAAUUGUUGAAAGGGAAGCGCUUGCAACCAGACUCGCCCGCGCUUGUUCAGCCGUCUUUCGGGACGGUGCACUCUUGUGUGGGUGGGCCAGCAUCGGUUCGGGCGGUCGGAUAAAGGUUCUGGGAACGUAGCUCUCUUCGGGGAGUGUUAUAUCCCGGAGCGUAAUGCGGCCAGCCUGGACUGAGGACCGCGCUUUUGCUAGGAUGCUGGCGUAAUGGUUGUCAGCGACCCGUCUUGAAACACGGACCAGUAAGUUUAUUAUCUAUCAAUCGUUCUGAUCGUCGCUAAUAUGUUUUGCAGAGGAGUCGACCAACCGCGCGAGUGUUUGGGUGUAAAGCCCAUGACGCGUAAUGAAAGUGAACGUAGGUGGGAGCUUCUGGCGCACCAUCGACCGAUCUUGAUGUCCUCGGAUGGAUUUGAGUACGAGCGCGAUUGGUCGGACCCGAAAGUCAUGUGAUCUAUGCGCGAAUAGGGUGAAGCCAGAGGAAACUCUGGUGGAGGCUCGCAGCGGUUCUGACGUGCAAAUCGAUCGUCAAAUUUGCGCAUAGGGGCGAAAGACUAAUCGAACUGACUAGUAGCUGGUUCCUGCCGAAGUUUCCCUCAGGAUAGCAGCAGCGAGCAAUAGUCUCAUGAGGUAGAGCGAACGAUUAGAGGCCUUGGGGAAGUAACUUCCUUAACSUAUUCUCGAACUUCGAAUACGUGAGAAGUCCUUGUUACUUAGUUGAA